UACAGAGGGGGCAAGCGUUAUUCGGCAUUAUUGGGCGUAAAGGGCGCGUAGGCGGCUUGGCAAGUGGAUGGUGAAAUCCCUCGGCUUAACCGAGGAACUGCCGUCCAAACUGCUUCGCUUGAGACCGGGAGAGGUGAGUGGAAUUCCCAGUGUAGCGGUGAAAUGCGUAGAUAUUGGGAGGAACACCAGUGGCGAAGGCGGCUCACUGGACCGGUACUGACGCUGAUGCGCGAAAGCGUGGGUAGCAAACAGG
This 253-nucleotide ribosomal RNA is filed under the name uncultured bacterium. RNAcentral describes it as "partial 16S ribosomal RNA". It matches the Rfam family "Bacterial small subunit ribosomal RNA", at positions 524 to 776 of the family's 1533-position model. The record is from RNAcentral.